RNAcentral lists this ribosomal RNA (308 nucleotides) under uncultured eukaryote. RNAcentral's name for it is "partial 18S ribosomal RNA". It matches the Rfam family "Eukaryotic small subunit ribosomal RNA", at positions 1470 to 1796 of the family's 1831-position model. The record is from RNAcentral.
CCCUUAGACGUUCUGGGCCGCACGCGCGCUACACUGACGAAGGCAACGAGCUUUCCUUUACCGAAAGGUACGGGUAAUCUUUUGAAACUUCGUCGUGCUGGGGAUAGAUCCUUGCAAUUUUUGAUCUUAAACGAGGAAUGCCUAGUAAGCGCAAGUCAUCAACUUGCGUUGAUUACGUCCCUGCCCUUUGUACACACCGCCCGUCGCUACUACCGAUUGAAUGGUUUAGUGAGGCCUUCGGAUCCGUGACUCGUUUUGUGGAGAAGUUGGACAAACUCAGUCAUUUAGAGGAAGUAAAAGUCGUAACA